Molecule: ribosomal RNA, 806 nt
Filed under: uncultured bacterium
Lineage: Bacteria
Description: bacterial SSU rRNA
Rfam family: Bacterial small subunit ribosomal RNA
Source: RNAcentral
AGAGUUUGAUCAUGGCUCAGGAUGAACGCUGGCGGCGUGCCUAAUACAUGCAAGUCGAGCGAACGGACGAGAAGCUUGCUUCUCUGAUGUUAGCGGCGGACGGGUGAGUAACACGUGGAUAACCUACCUAUAAGACUGGGAUAACUUCGGGAAACCGGAGCUAAUACCGGAUAAUAUUUUGAACCGCAUGGUUCAAAAGUGAAAGGCGGUCUUGCUGUCACUUAUAGAUGGAUCCGCGCUGCGUUAGCUAGUUGGUAAGGUGACGGCUUACCAAGGCAACGAUGCAUAGCCGACCUGAGAGGGUGAUCGGCCACACUGGAACUGAGACACGGUCCAGACUCCUACGGGAGGCAGCAGUAGGGAAUCUUCCGCAAUGGGCGAAAGCCUGACGUAGCAACGCCGCGUGAGUGAUGAAGGUCUUCGGAUCGUAAAACUCUGUUAUUAGGGAAGAACAUAUGUGUAAGUAACUGUGCACAUCUUGACGGUACCUAAUCAGAAAGCCACGGCUAACUACGUGCCAGCAGCCGCGGUAAUACGUAGGUGGCAAGCGUUAUCCGGAAUUAUUGGGCGUAAAGCGCGCGUAGGCGGUUUUUUAAGUCUGAUGUGAAAGCCCACGGCUCAACCGUGGAGGGUCAUUGGAAACUGGAAAACUUGAGUGCAGAAGAGGAAAGUGGAAUUCCAUGUGUAGCGGUGAAAUGCGCAGAGAUAUGGAGGAACACCAGUGGCGAAGGCGACUUUCUGGUCUGUAACUGACGCUGAUGUGCGAAAGCGUGGGGAUCGAACAGGAUUAGAUACCCUGGUAGUCC